AUACGGAGGAUCCGAGCGUUAUCCGGAUUUAUUGGGUUUAAAGGGUGCGCAGGCGGCCAUUUAAGUCAGCGGUUAAAUCGUGGGGCUCAACCCCAUUCUGCCGUUGAUACUGGGUGGCUUGAUUGCGGUCGAGGUUGGCGGAAUUCGUUGUGUAGCGGUGAAAUGCAUAGAUAUGACGAAGAACACCGAUUGCGUAGGCGGCUGACCAGACCGCAAAUGACGCUCAUGCACGAAAGUGCGGGGAUCGAACAGGAUUAGAUACCCUGGUAGUCCGCACAGUAAACGAUGAAUACUUGUUUUCGGCGAUAUAAUGUCGGAGGCAAAGCGAAAGCGAUAAGUAUUCCACCUGGGGAGUACGCCGGCAACGGUGAAACUCAAAGGAAUUGGCGGGG
RNAcentral lists this ribosomal RNA (392 nucleotides) under uncultured bacterium. RNAcentral describes it as "partial 16S ribosomal RNA". It matches the Rfam family "Bacterial small subunit ribosomal RNA", at positions 523 to 918 of the family's 1533-position model. The record is from RNAcentral.